UACAGAGGUCUCAAGCGUUGUUCGGAUUCAUUGGGCGUAAAGGGCGCGUAGGCGGCCGUGUAAGUCACUUGUGAAAUCCCGGGGCUCAACCCCGGGGCUGCAGGUGAGACUGCGUGGCUAGAGCACGGUAGAGGCGAGUGGAAUUCCCGGUGUAGCGGUGGAAUGCGUAGAUAUCGGGAAGAACACCGGUGGCGAAGGCGGCUCGCUGGGCCGUUGCUGACGCUGAGGCGCGAAAGCGUGGGGAGCAAACAGG
Molecule: ribosomal RNA, 253 nt
Filed under: uncultured bacterium
Lineage: Bacteria
Description: partial 16S ribosomal RNA
Rfam family: Bacterial small subunit ribosomal RNA
Source: RNAcentral